GUUGAUCCUGCGGGAGGCUGCUGCUAUAAGGGUUCGACUAAGCCAUGCAAGUUCUGGGGUAGCAAUACACCGGCAAAAUGCUCAAUAACACGUCGAUAAUCUGCCUUUAGGUCAGGGAUAACCUUGGGAAACUGAGGGUAAAACCUGAUAGGAAGUUUCUUCUGGAAAGAUGUUCUUCCUAAAUUUCGAGCCUAAAGAUGAGUCGGCGGCGGAUUAGAUUGUUGGUGGGGUAAUGGCCCACCAAGUCGAAGAUCCGUACGGGCCUUGAGAGAGGUAACCCGGAGAAGGACACUGAGAUACUGGUCCUAGCCCUACGGGGUGCAGCAGGCGCGAAACCUUUACAAUGCACGAAAGUGUGAUAAGGGGACCCUUAGUGCUCAUGCAUUGCAUGGGCUUUUGCCAAGUGUAAAUAGCUUGGCGAAUAAGCGGUGGGUAAGACUGGUGCCAGCCGCCGCGGUAACACCAGCGCCGCAAGUGGGGGCCACAUUUAUUGGGUCUAAAGCGUUCGUAGCCGGUUUAGUAAAUCUCUUGUGAAAUUGUCAAGCUUAACUUGCCAGAUUGCAGAAGACACUACUGAACUAGGGACCGGGAGGAGCCAGGAGUAUUCAUGGGGGAGCGGUAAAAUGCUAUAAUCCCUUGAAGACUACCAGUGGCGAAGGCGCCUGGCCAGAACGGGUCCGACGGUGAGGAACGAAAGCUAGGGGAGCAAUCCGGAUUAGAUACCCGAGUAGUCCUAGCUGUAAACGCUGCGUGCUAGGUGUUGCGUAUUCUACAGGAAUGCGCAGUGUCGAAGCGAAGGCGAUAAGCACGCCACCUGGGAAGUACGGUCGCAAGGCUGAAACUUAAAGGAAUUGGCGGGGGAGCACUACAAGGGGUGCGGCGUGCGGUUUAAUCUAAUUCAACACAGAAAAUCUCACCAGCAGCGACGGCAGGAUGAAAGUCAGAUUAAAGGUUUUACUUGACGAGCCGAGAGGUAGUGCAUGGCCGCCGUCAGCUCGUACCGUGAGGUGUCCUGUUAAGUCAGGCAACGAGCGAGACCUGUAUCCAUAAUUGCUAACAGAUAGCUUGCUAGGACUGAGCACAUUAUGGGGACUGCCUUGGAAACAAGGAGGAAGGCGCAGGCUACGGUAGGUCUGUAUGCUCCGAAUCUGCUGGGCUACACGCGCGCAACAAUGGUAAGGACAAUGUGAUGCAACUCCGAAAGGAGAAGCUAACCCUCUAAACCUUAUCUUAGUCCAGAUUGAGGAUUGUAACUCAUCCUCAUGACGAUGGAAUCCCUAGUAAUCGGGCUUCAUCAGUACCCGGUGAAUAUGUCCCUGCUCCUUGCACACACCGCCCGUCAAACCAACCGAGCAGGGUUUGGGUGAGCCUUAGUUUUUUUGAUUAAGCCGAAUCCAAGCUCAGUAAGGUGGGUUAAGUCGUCACAAGGUA
RNAcentral lists this ribosomal RNA (1431 nucleotides) under metagenome. Its description in RNAcentral is "bacterial SSU rRNA". It matches the Rfam family "Archaeal small subunit ribosomal RNA". The record is from RNAcentral.